UACGUAGGAUCCAAGCGUUGUCCGGAUUUACUGGGAGUAAAGGGUGCGCAGGCGGACUUGUAAGUCAGGGGUGAAAUCUCACAGCUUAACUGUGAAACUGCCUUUGAUACUGCAAGUCUUGGAUCCAGAAGAGAGUUGUGGAAUUCCGAGUGUAGCAGUGAAAUGCGUAGAUAUUCGGAAGAACACCAGUGGCGAAGGCAGCAACUUGGUCUGGUAUCGACGCUCAGGCACGAAAGCAUGGGGAUCAAACAGG
RNAcentral lists this ribosomal RNA (253 nucleotides) under uncultured bacterium. RNAcentral's name for it is "partial 16S ribosomal RNA". It matches the Rfam family "Bacterial small subunit ribosomal RNA", at positions 524 to 776 of the family's 1533-position model. The record is from RNAcentral.